AGUGAACGCUGGCGGUAGGCCUAACACAUGCAAGUCGAACGGCAGCACAGAGGAGCUUGCUCCUUGGGUGGCGAGUGGCGGACGGGUGAGGAAUACACCGGAAUCUACUCUGUCGUGGGGGAUAACGUAGGGAAACUUACGCUAAUACCGCAUACGACCUACGGGUGAAAGCAGGGGACCUUCGGGCCUUGCGCGAUUGAAUGAGCCGAUGUCGGAUUAGCUAGUUGGCGGGGUAAAGGCCCACCAAGGCGACGAUCCGUAGCUGGUCUGAGAGGAUGAUCAGCCACACUGGAACUGGGACACGGUACAGAAUGCUACGGGAGGCAGCAGUGGGGAAUAUUGGACAAUGGGCGCAAGCCUGAUCCAGCCAUACCGCGUGGGUGAAGAAGGCCUUCGGGUUGUAAAGCCCUUUUGUUGGGAAAGAAAUCCAGCUGGCUAAUACCCGGUUGGGAUGACGGUACCCAAAGAAUAAGCACCGGCUAACUUCGUGCCAGCCGCCGCAGUAA
This 506-nucleotide ribosomal RNA is filed under the name uncultured bacterium. Its description in RNAcentral is "partial 16S ribosomal RNA". It matches the Rfam family "Bacterial small subunit ribosomal RNA", at positions 29 to 523 of the family's 1533-position model. The record is from RNAcentral.